UCUGCUCUUUUCUUUCGUGUAGCGAUAUGCAACACGGUGUUACCAAACUUGUCAGGAAGCAUGACGAUAGCCGGAUCAGCUCGAAGGAGUAAUCUCACGACUUCUGAGCUAAUUCCUUUCACAGCCAUAUGUAAAGACGUUUGUCCUUUCUUGUCUGUUCUUCUUGCUAACUGCGGAUCUUUAUCAAGCAACGUUCUUACAAUAUCUACAUGACCUUGACGUGCAGCUAGGUGAAGCGCGUUUUUCCCAUUAGAUCUUGAUAUCUCAAGCAAGCUUGAGUCUUUAGCAAGCAACUCAUUAACUACUUCUGAAUGCCCUCGUGUUGCAGCAGAAACAAGUGGUGUUGCGUUUGAUUGAGCUACUGUUUUACUCAAUAGAGGUUCAUGCUCUAGCAGUAACUGAACAAUAGCUGCAAUAAAAGAAUACCACGGUUAGAAAAAAACAAUGCAAUCAUUCUUAUUAAAUCCAAACUUAUCAUAGACUUCCAACUUUGAAACCAAUUGACGAUAAUUGGAUUAGUCUUAUCCUUUUAUAUAUUAGUUAAUUAUUUCUCCAACUAUCAAUGUGAGAUUUCAUUCAUUCAUUGAAAUUUUUGGUUAGUGAGACUCACCUCGAUGGCCUUGACUGCAAGCAAUAUGUAAAGCGUCGAAUCCAGAAAGAUUCUUCUGCAUAAGAGACUCUUUGGUGGUAUAACACAAAAGCUCUUUCACAACAUCAAUAUUGCCUUUCUCUGCUGCUGUAAAAAGUGGUGUCUCUCCUAACUCAUUCACCUCGUUUACCACUGAUGUCAUUAUUUGUGCCACCUUUUAAGUUUACAACACAAAACAAGAUAAUCAAUACAGUUUCAUUUUGAGCUUUAAUAUGAGGAGGAAGAGGAAGGUUUCAUCAUACCUCGUCAUCAAAAUCAGAUCCUGAAAUGGUACCAGUGAUCUGAGAAUCAAUGUCACUAAGAAUCUGCUUAACAGCAGCCAAGUCUCCUCUUUGAGCAGCUAGGUGAAGCUCGGUGUCGUUGUGGCGG
RNAcentral lists this long non-coding RNA (1018 nucleotides) under Brassica rapa (field mustard). RNAcentral's name for it is "long non-coding RNA (BRAP_LNC002020)". The record is from RNAcentral. Lineage: Eukaryota; Viridiplantae; Streptophyta; Magnoliopsida; Brassicales; Brassicaceae.